CCUACGGGAGGCUGCAGGGAGGAAUAUUGGUCAAUGGGCGGGAGACUGAACCAGCCAAGCCGCGGGAGGGAUGAAGGUACAGAGGAUCGUAAACCUCUUUUGUCAGGGAACAAAGUCGGGGACGCGUCCCCGGAUGAGUGUACCUGAAGAAAAAGCAUCGGCUAACUCCGUGCCAGCAGCCGCGGUAAUACGGAGGGUGCGAGCGUUAUCCGGAUUUAUUGGGUGAAAAGGGUGCGCAGGGGGGCUGUUAAGUCAGCGGUAAAAGCCCGGGGCUCAACCCCGACCCGCCGUUGAAACUGGCAGUCUCGAGUUGGGGAUAGGUAUGCGGAAUGCGCGGUGUAGCGGUGAAAUGCAUAGAUAUCGCGCAGAACUCCGAUUGCGAAGGCAGCAUGCCGGAUCCACACUGACGCUGAGGCACGAAAGCGUGGGUAUCGAACAGGAUUAGAUACCCUUGUAGUC
RNAcentral lists this ribosomal RNA (459 nucleotides) under uncultured bacterium. Its description in RNAcentral is "partial 16S ribosomal RNA". It matches the Rfam family "Bacterial small subunit ribosomal RNA", at positions 338 to 795 of the family's 1533-position model. The record is from RNAcentral.